This 301-nucleotide ribosomal RNA is filed under the name uncultured bacterium. RNAcentral describes it as "partial 16S ribosomal RNA". It matches the Rfam family "Bacterial small subunit ribosomal RNA", at positions 509 to 808 of the family's 1533-position model. The record is from RNAcentral.
CAGUCGCCACGGGAAUACGUAGGGGGCAAGCGUUGUCCGGAAUUAUUGGGCGUAAAGCGCGCGCAGGCGGUUUUUUAAGUCUGGUGUCUAAGUGCGGGGCUCAACCCCGUGACGCACUGGAAACUGGGAGACUUGAGUGCAGAAGAGGAGAGCGGAAUUCCACGUGUAGCAGUGAAAUGCGUAGAGAUCGGAAGGAACAUCUGUGGCGAAGGCGACUAUCUGGGCCAACACUGACACUGAGGCACGAAAGCGUGGGGAGCAAACAGGAUUAGAUACCCCUGUAGUCCCUGUCUCUUAUACA